GGCAGUCUGCACCAGGCUCGUGGGGGUAUUGCCUGCUUUGUGCCUGCCUUGGGAAAUGUUUGGAGCUGCUGCUUUGGCCGCGAGGCCCUGCUGCGAAGCCUGCGCGUGUGGCUCAGCUGGUGAAGUAAAUUCCCGGCGAUGUCAGAUCGCGUGAUGGCGGAGCUGGUUCGAAGCCCCCGCUCUCAAAGCGACCUCCAGCAGACCGUGACGGGGAUCAAGAACUGGCAACAGCGAACAGACACAGCAUUUGGUGUCGGUUCAGCUUGGCCCGGCCGUGUGCAAUAGCCCCGGGACUCCACAUAAUCCAUGCGGAGCUCAGCACGAGGGCGAAUGCCCAAGCUCCUUCGCAGGCCCGAGGCCAUCCUGUGGGGUGCCUCUGGCUGCCCACGGGCUGGGACAAGGGCGCUGGAUUUUGAUGGUGAGGGUGCAGGUGGAACAAGUGCUGACCCCGGUAAUCACCUGCCUGGCGCUGCGAGCGUCAGUGAGGAGUUUCGGUGGGGGAGGACCAGGAGGCCCGCCCUGCUGGGGAACUUGCUCGAUCCGCGAACGUAUGCGGAAUAAAUGUGCCAGAUUUUUUAAAUGGGUUUUGUUUAUUAGCACACCCUUAAGGAAAUAAAUCAUACAUCAUUAGGAGUGAUGUCUUCUCACCAGCCAGCGUCAUUAUUAUUAGCACACUUAUCUAACAGCCAUGCGAGUUUCGUUCUGCCCUUUAUUCAGGAAUCUUAAAGACUUUACAAAUACGAACUAAUUAGAGCAACGAAGAUUUUAUUUCAACAGCUAGAAAAGCACAUUGGUGGGAAGUGCUGCAGGCUCAGAAUUUCUGGGCCUGGACAUCG
Oxyura jamaicensis (ruddy duck) is the source of this 836-nucleotide long non-coding RNA. RefSeq lists it as uncharacterized. The record is from RefSeq and is a predicted model, not a curated record. Lineage: Eukaryota; Metazoa; Chordata; Aves; Anseriformes; Anatidae. The transcript has 3 exons.